GUGCCAGCCGCCGCGGUAAUACGGAGGGUGCAAGCGUUAAUCGGAAUUACUGGGCGUAAAGCGCGCGUAGGCGGUCGGAUAAGUCGGGUGUGAAAGCCCCGGGCUCAACCUGGGAAUGGCAUUCGAUACUGUCUGGCUAGAGUCUGGCAGAGGGAGGUGGAAUUUCCGGUGUAGCGGUGAAAUGCGUAGAUAUCGGAAGGAACACCAGUGGCGAAGGCGACCUCCUGGGCCAAGACUGACGCUGAGGUGCGAAAGCGUGGGGAGCAAACAGGAUUAGAAACCCGAGUAGUCC
Molecule: ribosomal RNA, 292 nt
Filed under: uncultured bacterium
Lineage: Bacteria
Description: partial 16S ribosomal RNA
Rfam family: Bacterial small subunit ribosomal RNA
Source: RNAcentral